Molecule: ribosomal RNA, 253 nt
Filed under: uncultured bacterium
Lineage: Bacteria
Description: partial 16S ribosomal RNA
Rfam family: Bacterial small subunit ribosomal RNA
Source: RNAcentral
UACAGAGGUCCCAAGCGUUACUGAGAAUCACUGGGUUUAAAGGGUGCGUAGGUGGUCCGCUAAGUCAGUUGUGAAAUCCCCGGGCUCAACCCGGGAACUGCUUCUGAUACUGGCGGACUUGAGGCCAGUAGGGGUCACUAGAACUGACGGUGGAGCGGUGAAAUGCGUAGAUAUCGUCAGGAAUGCCGGUGGUGAAGACGGGUGACUGGGCUGGUUCUGACACUGAGGCACGAAAGCGUGGGGAGCGAACGGG